RNAcentral lists this ribosomal RNA (507 nucleotides) under uncultured bacterium. RNAcentral's name for it is "partial 16S ribosomal RNA". It matches the Rfam family "Bacterial small subunit ribosomal RNA", at positions 355 to 874 of the family's 1533-position model. The record is from RNAcentral.
UGGGGAAUAUUGGACAAUGGGCGCAAGCCUGAUCCAGCCAUGCCGCGUGAGUGAUGAAGGCCUUAGGGUUGUAAAGCUCUUUCGCCGACGAAGAUAAUGACGGUAGUCGGAGAAGAAGCCCCGGCUAACUUCGUGCCAGCAGCCGCGGUAAUACGGAAGGGGGCUAGCGUUGUUCGGAAUCACUGGGCGUAAAGCGCACGUAGGCGGAUUGUUAAGUCAGGGGUGAAAGCCUGGAGCUCAACUCCAGAACUGCCCUUGAUACUGGCAAUCUCGAGUCCGGAAGGAGGUAAGUGGAACUGCGAGUGUAGAGGUGAAAUUCGUAGAUAUUCGCAAGAACACCAGUGGCGAAGGCGGCCUUACUGGUCCGGUACUGACGCUGAGGUGCGAAAAGCGUGGGGAGCAAAACAGGAUUAGAUACCCUGGUAGUCCACGCCGUAAAACGAUGGAGGCUAGCCGUUGGCGAGCAUGCUCGUCAGUGGCGCAGCUAACGCAUUAAGCCUCCCGCCU